This 1007-nucleotide long non-coding RNA is filed under the name Salvia miltiorrhiza (redroot sage). RNAcentral describes it as "long non-coding RNA (SMIL_LNC004124)". Lineage: Eukaryota; Viridiplantae; Streptophyta; Magnoliopsida; Lamiales; Lamiaceae. The record is from RNAcentral.
CUGGGUUUUAAAAAGCGCGCCUAGGCGCGCCUAGGCGCGCGCCUUAAGCGAGGCGCAGGGUGGGGGGGCCUUUUUAGGCAAGGCGCAGGAGCCUACUAGAGGCGCAGCCGAGGCGCAAUAAGGCGCGAAAGGCGCGCCUAGGCGCAGGCUCACUAAGGCGCCGCCUUAUGUAGAAUUAGGGUUAGGGUACAAUUUUAUUUAAAACAGAAAAAUAACACACCAGCCGCGCCUCCUUUCUCCUCUCUUCUCUCUCCUUGCGUCUUCCCCCCUUUGCUCACAUACCGGCGUCGCCAGCAAGCCCCCGCCGCCGCCAGCCGUCCACCGCCGCCGCCGCCAGCCCCAGCCGUCCGCCGCCGGCGCCGCCAGCCUCCAGCACGUAAGGCUUCAGUUUUUGAAGUUCAUUUUUUGAGUUUUAACUUGUAUUUCAGUUUUUGAAGUUUAUUUUGAAUUUCAACUUUCAAAUGCAAUAUUGUAGUUCAGUUUUUGAAGUUGUUUUUGAGUUUUAAUUUUCAAAUUCAACAUUGUAGGUCAGUUUUUUAAGUUGUUUUUUAUAAUUUCAGUUUUGAUUGAUGUUAUAAAUUUAUAAUUGAAUAAAUUUUAUUUUUUUAAUUUCAGUUUUACUCUCAAAAUCUCAAUGUCUUCGGGUAAGUCUCGUGUAUCAUCAUCAACGGGGGAUGAUGAUGAGCGGGAUCCAGCUAGAAAAUAUGGGACACCGAAUCCAAGCAAUCCUUUUGCAUAUUUUAGACUUGCAUAUUUUAAAACUUAAGUAUUUGUGUGUUUUGGAUUAAGUAUUUGUGUGUUUUGGAUUAAGUAUAUGUGUGUUUAAGUACUAUUUGUGGUUUUAAGUUGUGUUUUUGGUAUAAAAUAUAAUGUAGGUAAAUAUAUUAGAAUUUUUUAGGCUUUACUGCGCCUCGCCUACGAAAAGCCCGCGCCUGCGCUUAAAGCCCUGCGCCUAGGCUCCGAGGCAUGUUUGCGCCUCGUGCGCCUCGGGCUUUUUAAAACCCAGA